Molecule: unclassified non-coding RNA, 259 nt
Filed under: uncultured fungus
Lineage: Eukaryota; Fungi
Description: partial contains 5.8S ribosomal RNA, internal transcribed spacer 2, and large subunit ribosomal RNA
Source: RNAcentral
AACGCACCUUGUGCCCUCUGGUAUUCCGGAGGGCAUGCCUGUUUGAGUGUCAUGUAGACUCAACCGCGUCGGGUUUCCGACUGGGUUGGACUUGGGCGUUGCCGGAGACGGCUCGCCUCAAAUGAGUUAGCGGACGAACCGACCGAAAACGACGUGAUAAGUACUCGUCGCCAUUAGGCCGUGGGAGACCGCUCAUAACCGCCCUCGGGCACCUUUUGACUCUGACCUCAAAUCAGGUAGGACUACCCGCCGAACUUAA